RNAcentral lists this ribosomal RNA (559 nucleotides) under uncultured bacterium. Its description in RNAcentral is "bacterial LSU rRNA". It matches the Rfam family "Bacterial large subunit ribosomal RNA", at positions 342 to 904 of the family's 2925-position model. The record is from RNAcentral.
CUGGAAAGUCCGGCCAUAGAGGGUGAUAGCCCCUUACGCGAAAAACCAGUGGUGGAACUAAGGGGUUGCGAAAAGUAGGGCGGGACACGUGAAAUCCUGUCUGAAUAUGGGGGACCAUCCUCCAAGGCUAAAUACUCGUAAUCGACCGAUAGUGAACCAGUACCGUGAGGGAAAGGCGAAAAGAACCCCGGGAGGGGAGUGAAAUAGAUCCUGAAACCGCAUGCAUACAAGCGGUCGGAGCUCCGCAAGGAGUGACGGCAUACCUUUUGUAUAAUGGGUCAGCGACUUACAUUCAGUGGCGAGCUUAACCGUAUAGGGAAAGCGUAGCGAAAGCGAGUCUGAACAGGGCGUUCAGUCGCUGGGUGUAGACCCCGAAACCAGAUGAUCUACCCAUGGCCAGGAUGAAGGUGAGGUAACUCUCACUGGAGGUCCGAACCCACUACCGUUGAAAAGGUAGGGGAUGAGCUGUGGGUAGGGGUGAAAGGCUAAACAAAUCUGGAGAUAGCUGGUCUCUCCGAAAGCUAUUUAGGUAGCGCCUCGUGAUAUACCUUCGGGGGUA